This is a long non-coding RNA of Sebastes umbrosus (honeycomb rockfish), 1676 nucleotides long. RefSeq lists it as uncharacterized. NCBI's taxonomy places the organism in Eukaryota, Metazoa, Chordata, Actinopteri, Perciformes, Sebastidae. The transcript is spliced from 4 exons. The record is from RefSeq and is a predicted model, not a curated record.
CCGACCAGUGGCACAGAAUGAGAAAUGAAGAGCAAAACGUGGCUCAUUAUUUUUUGGUCUGCUAACAAUAUUGUGGAGUGAGCCAUGAGAAAGCUUCUAAGGACAGCGUGCCGACAGAGAGGUCAAACCUUUACACCUCUAUGGCAAGCACUUUCCAGACUACUAAUUACUCAAGAGAACAUACACGCUCCUGAAGAAUGUGGUGAAGGCAGAGAAAGUGGACAGAGAGCUGGAAAUGGGACAUACUGAGGUGACAGGAGGAGGAGGACCAAGGCGAUGGAGGAGAGGGGGCAGUGAGGAGGAGAGGAGGAUGACCAGACACUUUCUGUACCCAGCAUUCUUACCUCUGAUUGGUGUACCACCUGGUGAGAUCCCAAGGUGCAGUCACAGCAUCCGCAGAGUCCAUCGCUGGUCUGGGUCACAUCACUCUUCGUUGGACAAUCUUUGGUUGUAAUUACUGUCAGACAGUAAGCACCAGAGGAAGCCUUACACAAGCCAGAGGAGUUUUUUUUUUUUUUCCCGGAGAGAGCAAAGGUCUCAAAUUGAAAAAUGAAGCUAUUAGUGUUUCUUAAUGGAUCAAAGUCAUUUCAUAGGACUAACUAAUUCAUGAGCAAAUCUAAUCACUCCUCUAUAUAAUGAAUUCUAUUGAAACAAAUAAAUUGAAUAAUUGCGGAGUGCUGAGAUUGCACACGGCUACGUAUUUCACUUGCCUUGUGUGGCACAGGAUAACUCCGAUUUCCCAUUAAAGGAAGUCGGCCAUCUGUGCUCGGCCGCCGUGGGACUGCAUGUGAUGACGGGGCCUUAUGAAACAUAUUGAAACAAAUCGCUCUGCUAUUUGGUUAAUAAUACAUGUUUGUCCUUACCUAAGGCCCAGACUGUGACUUGGGAAAAUCCUCAGAGUGGACUUCAAAGCCAGCGAUAUCCUAGAGCUUGUCUCUCAGCCUUUCCUCUCUGCCUGUGUUGAGAUGAGAGGAGGAGGGGCCCCGGGCUCCUCAGUGAUGGGAAAUCUGCUUCUUACUCCUGCUGCAAGGGCUGGCAAGAAAGUUUGGCCCUGGACAGCCGUUCCAAUGUUGUGUAGGUGCUUGCAACUUUUGGCAAGAAGCAAACAUUUCUAUUUUCUCCCUGAAAGGGCAGCUGACAGGGUGCACGGAGCUGGGCUAUUCAGCCAGCAGCCAUCCAGCUCCGCUGCGGGCUCGCUGGGGCUGAGUUUGGUGGAGAAAGAUGCCCUAUCUGCUCCCCUGGAUCCCGGCCACCUCCUCACAGAGCUGCUUCACAUGGCUGCCUCGGCUUUAACAUUCAUCACUGUCUGUGGAGUGUUAAGCACUGUUGGCACGCCACCGUUCCCACACAGGUGCUGCUCAGGCAAUUACUGCAAUCUAUGAUAUCCUGCUCAAAGUCUGAACCGUCUAUUCCCAUCAGAAGCAUAUUUUUUAUAAGCAAGAUCCACCUUCAGACCUUUAACAAUUCAUCUAAUCUUUUUUUUUAUUUUUGAUGUAAGUGAUAUAAUUUAUUUUUGUGCAUCGACACCCGUCAACCCGUCAAGUGAGUAUAUGCUCUCAUGUAUAGCAUAACAACAUGAUCAUUCAGCUGAGGGCUUCAAUGGGCCGUGAUAUUGUAAAUGUUCUCUGCUAUGUUUGUGUUUAUCCGGGAGAUGCAUACGUGACCAAGGUAUCAAA